RNAcentral lists this unclassified non-coding RNA (376 nucleotides) under Hevea brasiliensis (rubber tree). Lineage: Eukaryota; Viridiplantae; Streptophyta; Magnoliopsida; Malpighiales; Euphorbiaceae. The record is from RNAcentral.
GUUGGGUCUCAUUUAGAUAAAAAAGAGUUCACCAUUUGCAUGCGCACUAACCGCCUUAUAUUGCACAGUUGCAUUAUGAAAUUAGGCAUAAACAUUGAAGGGAAUGGGCCUGUAGACCCGCAAACACCCAUACUUAACAUACCCAGUUAUCCACUUUGCAUAAAUGCCUUACAGGAAACAUACUCGUAACAAAACAAUUGGAACCGUCAUAAAUUUUGAACGUUGAUAGAUGCCCCAAUGGAAACACAGUAAGAACCUGGAGCACCAUUCUAGCUUCACAAAAGUAAUUGGUAUUCGAUCAACUGUUUAAAUAAUUCAGAAAUUUUAAAUCUUCAUCGCUGCAGGUCUCACAAGUCCCAAUCCUGAACCACUACCU